UUCGUUGUCGUCGAAACCUGCUU
Molecule: microRNA, 23 nt
Filed under: Capitella teleta
Lineage: Eukaryota; Metazoa; Annelida; Polychaeta; Capitellidae
Description: cte-miR-981
Gene: cte-miR-981
Source: miRBase by way of RNAcentral